UGUUAAAAGUUUCAUCCAUUUUUACAUAAAAACUGUCGUGACUGAUCAAAAUAACUAAACAAUUACACGUGACAGUGCCACGUGUACCUCACGUUGAUGUACAAGAACUAAGUUUUAAUAGUAAAAAUAGAUGGAAUUUAAAUUA
This 145-nucleotide microRNA precursor is filed under the name Gossypium arboreum. RNAcentral's name for it is "MIR7502 microRNA precursor family". It matches the Rfam family "MIR7502 microRNA precursor family". The record is from Rfam by way of RNAcentral. Lineage: Eukaryota; Viridiplantae; Streptophyta; Magnoliopsida; Malvales; Malvaceae.